CCUACGGGAGGCAGCAGUGGGGAAUUUUGGACAAUGGGCGCAAGCCUGAUCCAGCAAUGCCGCGUGCAGGAUGAAGGCCUUCGGGUUGUAAACUGCUUUUGUACGGAGCGAAACGGUCAACUUUAAUACAGUGGGCUAAUGACGGUACCGUAAGAAUAAGCACCGGCUAACUACGUGCCAGCAGCCGCGGUAAUACGUAGGGUGCGAGCGUUAAUCGGAAUUACUGGGUGUAAAGCGUGCGCAGGCGGUUAUAUAAGACAGAUGUGAAAUCCCCGGGCUCAACCUGGGACCUGCAUUUGUGACUGUAUAGCUAGAGUACGGUAGAGGGGGAUGGAAUUCCGCGUGUAGCAGUGAAAUGCGUAGAUAUGCGGAGGAACACCGAUGGCGAAGGCAAUCCCCUGGACCUGUACUGACGCUCAUGCACGAAAGCGUGGGGAGCAAACAGGAUUAGAUACCCUGGUAGUCCACGCCCUAAACGAUGUCAACUGGUUGUUGGGUCUUCACUGACUCAGUAACGAAGCUAACGCGUGAAGUUGACCGCCUGGGGAGUACGGCCGCAGGUUGAAACUCAAAGGAUUGACGG
RNAcentral lists this ribosomal RNA (583 nucleotides) under uncultured bacterium. Its description in RNAcentral is "bacterial SSU rRNA". It matches the Rfam family "Bacterial small subunit ribosomal RNA", at positions 338 to 916 of the family's 1533-position model. The record is from RNAcentral.